GAGUUUGAUCAUGGCUCAGAACGAACGCUGGCGGCAUGCCUAACACAUGCAAGUCGAACGAAGGCUUCGGCCUUAGUGGCGCACGGGUGAGUAACGCGUGGGAAUCUGCCUAUCAGUGGGGAAUAACGACGGGAAACUGUCGCUAAUACCGCAUACGCCCUUCGGGGGAAAGAUUUAUCGCUGAUAGAUGAGCCCGCGUACGAUUAGCUAGUUGGUGAGGUAAUGGCUCACCAAGGCUACGAUCGUUAGCUGGUCUGAGAGGAUGAUCAGCCACACUGGGACUGAGACACGGCCCAGACUCCUACGGGAGGCAGCAGUGGGGAAUAUUGGACAAUGGGCGAAAGCCUGAUCCAGCAAUGCCGCGUGAGUGAUGAAGGCCUUAGGGUUGUAAAGCUCUUUCGGGUGGGACGAUGAUGACGGUACCACCAGAAGAAGCCCCGGCUAACUUCGUGCCAGCAGCCGCGGUAAUACG
This 472-nucleotide ribosomal RNA is filed under the name uncultured eubacterium WR8156. RNAcentral's name for it is "bacterial SSU rRNA". It matches the Rfam family "Bacterial small subunit ribosomal RNA", at positions 9 to 527 of the family's 1533-position model. The record is from RNAcentral.